RNAcentral lists this ribosomal RNA (305 nucleotides) under uncultured bacterium. RNAcentral's name for it is "bacterial SSU rRNA". It matches the Rfam family "Bacterial small subunit ribosomal RNA", at positions 334 to 656 of the family's 1533-position model. The record is from RNAcentral.
CAUUCCUACGGGACGCAGCAGUGGGGAAUAUUGCACAAUGGGGGAAACCCUGAUGCAGCGACGCCGCGUGAGUGAAGAAGUAUUUCGGUAUGUAAAGCUCUAUCAGCAGGGAAGAUAAUGACGGUACCUGAGUAAGAAGCCCCGGCUAACUACGUGCCAGCAGCCGCGGUAAUACGUAGGGGGCAAGCGUUAUCCGGAUUUACUGGGUGUAAAGGGAGCGUAGACGGCAUGGCAAGUCUGGAGUGAAAUGCCGGGGCUCAACCCCGGAACUGCUUUGGAAACUGGGCAGCUAGAGUGCGGGAGAG